This 490-nucleotide ribosomal RNA is filed under the name uncultured bacterium. RNAcentral's name for it is "partial 16S ribosomal RNA". It matches the Rfam family "Bacterial small subunit ribosomal RNA", at positions 30 to 507 of the family's 1533-position model. The record is from RNAcentral.
AUUGAACGCUGGCGGCAGGCCUAACACAUGCAAGUCGAACGGUAACAGGAAACAGCUUGCUGUUUCGCUGACGAGUGGCGGACGGGUGAGUAAUGUCUGGGAAACUGCCUGAUGGAGGGGGAUAACUACUGGAAACGGUAGCUAAUACCGCAUAACGUCGCAAGACCAAAGAGGGGGACCUUCGGGCCUCUUGCCAUCGGAUGUGCCCAGAUGGGAUUAGCUAGUAGGUGGGGUAACGGCUCACCUAGGCGACGAUCCCUAGCUGGUCUGAGAGGAGGACAAGCCACACUGGAACUGAGACACGGUCCAGACUCCUACGGGAGGCAGCAGUGGGGAAUAUUGCACAAUGGGCGCGAGCCUGAUGCAGCCAUGCCGCGUGUAUGAAGAAGGCCUUCGGGUUGUAAAGUACUUUCAGCGGGGAUGAAGGGAGUAAAGUUAAUACCUUUGCUCAUUGACGUUACCGGCAGAAGAAGCACCGGCUAACUCCGUG